CUACGGGUCGCUGCAGUGGGGAAUAUUGCACAAUGGGCGCAAGCCUGAUGCAGCCAUGCCGCGUGUAUGAAGAAGGCCUUCGGGUUGUAAAGUACUUUCAGCGGGGAGGAAAGGAGUAAAGUUAAUACCUUUGCUCAUUGACGUUACCCGCAGAAGAAGCACCGGCUAACUCCGUGCCAGCAGCCGCGGUAAUACGGAGGGUGCAAGCGUCAAUCGGAAUUACUGGGCGUAAAGCGCACGCAGGCGGUUUGUUAAGUCAGAUGUGAAAUCCCCGGGCUCAACCUGGGAACUGCAUCUGAUACUGGCAAGCUUGAGUCUCGUAGAGGGGGGUAGAAUUCAAGGUGUAGCGGUGAAAUGCGUAGAGAUCUGGAGGAAUACCGGUGGCGAAGGCGGCCCCCUGGACGAAGACUGACGCUCAGGUGCGAAAGCGUGGGGAGCAAACAGGAUUAGAUACCCGGGUAGUC
RNAcentral lists this ribosomal RNA (464 nucleotides) under uncultured bacterium. Its description in RNAcentral is "partial 16S ribosomal RNA". It matches the Rfam family "Bacterial small subunit ribosomal RNA", at positions 339 to 795 of the family's 1533-position model. The record is from RNAcentral.